RNAcentral lists this ribosomal RNA (497 nucleotides) under uncultured bacterium. RNAcentral describes it as "partial 16S ribosomal RNA". It matches the Rfam family "Bacterial small subunit ribosomal RNA", at positions 28 to 507 of the family's 1533-position model. The record is from RNAcentral.
GAUGAACGCUGGCGGCGUGCCUAAUACAUGCAAGUCGAGCGAACAGACGAGGAGCUUGCUCCUCUGACGUUAGCGGCGGACGGGUGAGUAACACGUGGAUAACCUACCUAUAAGACUGGGAUAACUUCGGGAAACCGGAGCUAAUACCGGAUAAUAUAUUGAACCGCAUGGUUCAAUAGUGAAAGACGGUUUUACUGUCACUUAUAGAUGGAUCCGCGCCGCAUUAGCUAGUUGGUAAGGUAACGGCUUACCAAGGCAACGAUGCGUAGCCGACCUGAGAGGGUGAUCGGCCACACGGGAACUGAGACACGGUCCAGACUCCUGCGGGAGGCAGCAGUAGGGAAUCUUCCGCAAUGGGCGAAAGCUUGGCGGAGCAACGCCGCGUGAGUGAUGAAGGUCUUCGGAUCGGAAAACUCUGUUAUUAGGGAAGAACAAAUGUGUAAGUAACUAUGCCCGUCUUGACGGUACCUAAUCAGAAAGCAACGGCUAACUACGUG